AAUGUUGAACUCUUUUUAUCAAAUAAAGGUCAAGUUCCAGCACAUUUACUCCUUCGGAGUGUUUUGCAAGUCAAAAUGAACGUCAAAAAUCUACAGAUAUUAGAUAUGGUGCAAGUUCCAGUAAAUUUAUUUCAUCAGAGAGUUUGGCAAAGCAAAACAAAAGUCAAAAAUCUUCAAAUAUAGGAAAUGGUGCAAGUUCUAAUACAUUUAUUCCAUCGGAGAGUUUUGCAAGUCAAAAUAAUCGUCAAAAAUCUACAGAUACAAGAUGUGGUGCAAAUUCCAGUGCAUUUACUCCUUUGGAGUGUUUUGUAAGUCAAAUUGAUGCUCAACAAUCACUAGAUACUAGAUAUGACGUACAAACAAGAAGCAGAGGUACAAACAAAAAAGAAGGAAAAAUUUACCAACCUGAAAUUGUGCCAGAAAGAAAAUAUCAUAAAUGGGUUUUGAAUGAGGAGACACAACUAAUACAACACUUUCAAAGUUAUAUUAAUGAAAACAAAAUGCCUGACAAAAAAGAAAUUCUUCAGUUUUUGGAGGAGAAAAUAAUAGACGUUCAAUAUAAAACUGCAAGAACAAAAUUAAAGAACAAAAGAACUAAAAUUCUGAAUAGUAAAAGUCGUCGUUUGAAAGAUUUAAACAUGAUAGAGUAGA
Hydra vulgaris (swiftwater hydra) is the source of this 651-nucleotide non-coding RNA. NCBI's taxonomy places the organism in Eukaryota, Metazoa, Cnidaria, Hydrozoa, Anthoathecata, Hydridae. The record is from RefSeq and is a predicted model, not a curated record.